CGUACGAUACGAGUUUGAUCUGGCUCAGAAUCAACGCUGGCGGCGUGCCUCAGACAUGCAAGUCGAACGAUUAAAGCUCUCUUCGGAGAGUGUAUAGAGUGGCGCACGGGUGAGUAACACGUAAGUAAUCUACCCUCGAGUGGGGAAUAACAACCGGAAACGGUUGCUAAUACCGCAUAAUGCAGCGGCACCGCAAGGUGACAGUUGUUAAAGAUUUAUCGCUUGAGGAGGAGCUUGCGGCAGAUUAGCUAGUUGGUAGGGUAACGGCUUACCAAGGCUACGAUCUGUAACCGGUCUAAGAGGACGGUCGGUCACACUGACACUGAAUAACGGGUCAGACUCCUACGGGAGGCAGCAGUCGGGAAUUUUGGGCAAUGGGCGAAAGCCUGACCCAGCAACGCCGCGUGAAGGAUGAAGUAUUUCGGUAUGUAAACUUCGAAAGAAUAGGAAGAAUUAAUGACGGUACUAUUUAUAAGGUCCGGCUAACUACGUG
Molecule: ribosomal RNA, 493 nt
Filed under: uncultured bacterium
Lineage: Bacteria
Description: bacterial SSU rRNA
Rfam family: Bacterial small subunit ribosomal RNA
Source: RNAcentral